GCAUCUGUAGCUCAGUGGAUAGAGCACCUAUUUCCUAAGCAGAAGGUCAUAGGUUCAACUCCUACCUAACGCG
This 73-nucleotide transfer RNA is filed under the name Spinacia oleracea (spinach). It matches the Rfam family "tRNA". From Rfam's summary of the family: Transfer RNA (tRNA) molecules are approximately 80 nucleotides in length. Their secondary structure includes four short double-helical elements and three loops (D, anti-codon, and T loops). Further hydrogen bonds mediate the characteristic L-shaped molecular structure. tRNAs have two regions of fundamental functional importance: the anti-codon, which is responsible for specific mRNA codon recognition, and the 3' end, to which the tRNAs corresponding amino acid is attached (by aminoacyl-tRNA synthetases). tRNAs cope with the degeneracy of the genetic code in two manners: having more than one tRNA (with a specific anti-codon) for a particular amino acid; and 'wobble' base-pairing, i.e. permitting non-standard base-pairing at the 3rd anti-codon position. The record is from Rfam by way of RNAcentral. Lineage: Eukaryota; Viridiplantae; Streptophyta; Magnoliopsida; Caryophyllales; Amaranthaceae.